Bactrocera oleae (olive fruit fly) is the source of this 790-nucleotide non-coding RNA. NCBI's taxonomy places the organism in Eukaryota, Metazoa, Arthropoda, Insecta, Diptera, Tephritidae. The record is from RefSeq and is a predicted model, not a curated record.
UAUUAAUAAAAAAUAUUUCGCACAUUUUUAUUUUUGAAAAAGCAAAUUUUCAAAUGGGCAGUUUUUAACAUUUCAUUCAAGGGCAUCAGCUAGCAUAAAAUCAGCAGUGCAAACUAAACUGUGUUGCUAGUAUUUACUGCAUUUCCGUAAAAGCCCAAUACUGUUUCUGUAUCCAACUACUACUUUACACAGUGUGAAAAUGUUUGAAAUGGAGUAACAACACCGCCCACCCUCCAUUUAACUACUUAUUAAUAAUUAAAUAAACACGUCGGAAGCAAUAAAUUUCGCAGCUAAGAUGGUACGGAACAGAUAAAUAAGACUCAGUGUAAAAAUUAGAAAAUGGAGAUGGCACCACCCACUUUUAGAAGAAAUUUAAUUCAUUUAGGAACUAGUCAGCCAAUAUCAACAAAACUUGGUGCGUACUAUUAUCUUGAUAAUCUUAUGCUAAUAAGAUAAAGAAUAAGAACAAAUUUAGACAUCGGAACAAAACUUUGGAGAUAAUAUAUAGUAUAAUUAUGAAUAUUUGUGUAAUCUCAUUCCUUCAAAUAUAUUUUAGUUGGUGGCGUAGCAAAGCGCACAGCUGGCUUCCAUUAUACAACACAUAUUCAGCCCUAUUGUAAACUUCGGGUGAAUAAAUCAAUCCCAAGUAUUUUUAUUUUCACGCGUUAGCAUGUUUUUAAUUUUAAUAAUAUACAUGUCUUUUUUGAUCUAAUGAGGAUUUCGGCAUUAGUUAAUAUAAAAAAGUUGUAAAAAUCAAGUAAAGUUUUAAUAAAGUAUGCUUACCUUUUAU